UGAGGAAUCUUGGACAAUGGGCGCAAGCCUGAUCCAGCCAUGCCGCGUGAGUGAUGAAGGCCUUAGGGUUGUAAAGCUCUUUUGGCGGGGAUGAUAAUGACCGUACCCGCAGAAUAAGCCACGGCUAAAUUCGUGCCAGCAGCCGCGGUAAUACGAAUGUGGCAAGCGUUGUUCGGAAUCACUGGGCGUAAAGAGUACGUAGGCGGCUUGAUAAGUCAGGAGUGAAAUCCCAGGGCUCAACCCUGGAACUGCUCUUGAAACUAUCUGGCUAGAAGCUCGGAGAGGUUGGCGGAAUUCCCAGUGUAGAGGUGAAAUUCGCAGAUAUUGGGAGGAACACCAGUGGCGUAAGCGGCCAACUGGACGAGCAUUGACGCUGAGGUACGAAAGCGUGGGGAUCAAA
RNAcentral lists this ribosomal RNA (400 nucleotides) under uncultured bacterium. Its description in RNAcentral is "bacterial SSU rRNA". It matches the Rfam family "Bacterial small subunit ribosomal RNA", at positions 355 to 772 of the family's 1533-position model. The record is from RNAcentral.